RNAcentral lists this transfer RNA (75 nucleotides) under Armatimonadetes bacterium RBG_19FT_COMBO_69_19. RNAcentral's name for it is "tRNA-Val". The record is from RNAcentral. Lineage: Bacteria; Bacillati; Armatimonadota.
GCGCUGGUCACAGCGUUGUGGCUGCCUUCCCUAACACGGAAGAGGUCACAGGUUCAAGUCCUGUACCGCCCACCA